Molecule: ribosomal RNA, 474 nt
Filed under: uncultured bacterium
Lineage: Bacteria
Description: SSU rRNA
Rfam family: Bacterial small subunit ribosomal RNA
Source: RNAcentral
AGGACGAACGCUGGCGGCGUGCUUAACACAUGCAAGUCGAGCGGAAAGGCCCUUCGGGGUACUCGAGCGGCGAACGGGUGAGUAACACGUGAGCAACCUGCCCCUGGCUCUGGGAUAGCCUCCGGAAACGGGGAUUAAUACCGGACAUGACCUGCUGCCGCAUGGUGGCGGGUGGAAAGUUUUUCGGCCAGGGUGGGGCUCGCGGCCUAUCAGCUUGUUGGGGGGGUGACGGCCCACCAAGGCGACGACGGGUAGCCGGCCUGAGAGGGCGACCGGCCACACUGGGACUGAGACACGGCCCAGACUCCUACGGGAGGCAGCAGUGGGGAAUAUUGCGCAAUGGGCGGAAGCCUGACGCAGCGACGCCGCGUGCGGGAUGAAGGCCUUCGGGUUGUAAACCGCUUUCACCAGGGGCAAGCGAGAGUGACGGUACCUGGGGAAGAAGCGCCGGCUAACGUACGCGCCAGCAGCCGC